Molecule: ribosomal RNA, 439 nt
Filed under: uncultured bacterium
Lineage: Bacteria
Description: partial 16S ribosomal RNA
Rfam family: Bacterial small subunit ribosomal RNA
Source: RNAcentral
CUACGGGGUGCUGCAGUGGGGAAUAUUGCACAAUGGGGGGAACCCUGAUGCAGCAACGCCGCGUGGAGGAUGACGCAUUUCGGUGUGUAAACUCCUUUUAUAUGUCAAGAAAAUGACGGUAGCAUAUGAAUAAGCACCGGCUAACUCCGUGCCAGCAGCCGCGGUAAUACGGAGGGUGCAAGCGUUACUCGGAAUCACUGGGCGUAAAGGACGCGUAGGCGGGUUGGAAGGUCAGGUGUGAAAUCCUACAGCUUAACUGUAGAACUGCACUUGAAACUUCUAAUCUAGAGUAUGGGAGGGGGAGAUGGAAUUAGUGGUGUAGGGGUAAAAUCCGUAGAUAUCACUAGGAAUACCUAAAGCGAAGGCGAUCUCCUGGAACAUUACUGACGCUAAGGCGUGAAAGCGUGGGGAGCAAACAGGAUUAGAUACCCCCGUAGUC